RNAcentral lists this ribosomal RNA (429 nucleotides) under Gemmatimonadota bacterium. RNAcentral describes it as "Gemmatimonadetes bacterium partial 16S ribosomal RNA". It matches the Rfam family "Bacterial small subunit ribosomal RNA", at positions 355 to 776 of the family's 1533-position model. The record is from RNAcentral. Lineage: Bacteria; Pseudomonadati; Gemmatimonadota.
UAGGGAAUCUUCGGCAAUGGACGAAAGUCUGACCGAGCAACGCCGCGUGAGUGAAGAAGGUUUUCGGAUCGUAAAACUCUGUUGUUAGAGAAGAACAAGGACGUUAGUAACUGAACGUCCCCUGACGGUAUCUAACCAGAAAGCCACGGCUAACUACGUGCCAGCAGCCGCGGUAAUACGUAGGUGGCAAGCGUUGUCCGGAUUUAUUGGGCGUAAAGCGAGCGCAGGCGGUUUCUUAAGUCUGAUGUGAAAGCCCCCGGCUCAACCGGGGAGGGUCAUUGGCAACUGAGAGACUUGAGUGCAGAAGAGGGGAGUGGAAUUCCAUGUGUAGCGGUGAAAUGCGUAGAUAUAUGGAGGAACACCAGUGGCGAAGGCGGCUCUCUGGUCUGUAACUGACGCUGAGGCUCGAAAGCGUGGGGAGCAAACAGG